CGCAAGGUUGGAACUCAAAGAAAUUGACGGGGGUCUACACAAGUGGUGGAGCAUGUGAUUUAAUGCGAUACUACACGCAAAACCUUACCAAUUUUUGAAUAUAAAUACUUGUAAAUUUUAAUUUUAGUCAUUUUUAUAAAAUAAUUGAUUGAGUUAUUUCAUAAUAUAUUUAUACAGGUGUUGCAUGGCUGUCGUCAGCUCGUGUUGUGAAAUGUUUGGUUAAUUCCUUUAACGUGCGUAACUCUUAGCUUAUAUUGGUAAUGUUUAGACUAAUCUAAAACAACAACUUUUAAGCUACUGCUAGUGAUAAAUUAGAGGAAGGUGAGAACGACGUCAAGCCCUUAUGACCUUUAUAAAUUGGGCUAUACACGUGCUACACUGAUCAAUACAAAAAAUUAUACAAUAAAGUAAUUUGAAGUAAAUUUUUAAAAUUUAUCGUAUUCAGAUUAAAGACUGUAACUCGUCUUUAUAAAGCCGGAAUCACAAGUAAUCGUAAAUCAGCAUGUUACGGUGAAUUAGUACCUAGAUCUUGUACACACCGCCCGUCACA
This 550-nucleotide ribosomal RNA is filed under the name uncultured bacterium. RNAcentral describes it as "bacterial SSU rRNA". It matches the Rfam family "Bacterial small subunit ribosomal RNA", at positions 887 to 1401 of the family's 1533-position model. The record is from RNAcentral.